Molecule: ribosomal RNA, 641 nt
Filed under: uncultured euryarchaeote
Lineage: Archaea; Methanobacteriati; Methanobacteriota
Description: bacterial SSU rRNA
Rfam family: Archaeal small subunit ribosomal RNA
Source: RNAcentral
CGGCUCAGUAACACGUGGAUAACCUACCCUCAGAUCUGGGAUAACUCCGGGAAACUGGAGAUAAUACCGGAUAACCCGUGAACGCUGGAAUGCCUUACGGUUGAAAGCUUUAGCGUCUGAGGAUGGGUCUGCGGCCGAUUAGGUAGUUGCUGGGGUAACGUCCCAACAAGCCGAUAAUCGGUACGGGUUGUGAGAGCAAGAGCCCGGAGAUGGAUUCUGAGACACGAAUCCAGGUCCUACGGGGCGCAGCAGGCGCGAAAACUUUACACUGCGCGAAAGCGCGAUAAGGGGACCUCGAGUGCGUGCGCAAAGCGUACGCUUUUCAGAUGCCUAAAAAGCAUCUGGAAUAAGGGCCGGGCAAGACCGGUGCCAGCCGCCGCGGUAACACCGGCGGCUCAAGUGGUGGCCGCUAUUAUUGGGCUUAAAGGGUCCGUAGCCGGACCAGUUAGUCCCUUGGGAAAUCUUACGGCUUAACCGUAAGGCUGCCAAUGGAUACUGCUGGUCUUGGGACCGGGAGAGGCAAGAGGUACCUCAGGGGUAGGAGUGAAAUCCUGUAAUCCUUGAGGGACCGCCAGUGGCGAAGGCGUCUUGCUAGAACGGGUCCGACGGUGAGGGACGAAAGCUAGGGGCACGAACCGGAU